UGGGGAAUUUUGGACAAUGGGCGCAAGCCUGUUCCAGCCAUGCCGCGUGCGGGAAGAAGGCCUUCGGGUUGUAAACCGCUUUUGUCAGGGAAGAAAUCUUCUGAGUUAAUACCUCGGGAGGAUGACGGUACCUGAAGAAUAAGCACCGGCUAACUACGUGCCAGCAGCCGCGGUAAUACGUAGGGUGCAAGCGUUAAUCGGAAUUACUGGGCGUAAAGCGUGCGCAGGCGGUUUUGUAAGACAGAGGUGAAAUCCCCGGGCUCAACCUGGGAACUGCCUUUGUGACUGCAAGGCUUGAGUGCGGCAGAGGGGGGAUGGAAUUCCGCGUGUAGCAGUGAAAUGCGUAGAUAUGCGGAGGAACACCGAUGGCGAAGGCAAUCCCCUGGGCCUGCACUGACGCUCAUGCACGAAAGCGUGGGGAGCAAAACAGGAUUAGAUAGCCCUGGUAGUCCACGCCCUAAAACGAUGUCAAACUGGUUGUUGGGAAGGUUCCUUCUCAGUAACGUAGCUAACGCGUGAAGUUGACCGCCUGGGGAGUACGGCCGCAAGGUUG
This 553-nucleotide ribosomal RNA is filed under the name uncultured bacterium. RNAcentral's name for it is "partial 16S ribosomal RNA". It matches the Rfam family "Bacterial small subunit ribosomal RNA", at positions 355 to 896 of the family's 1533-position model. The record is from RNAcentral.